Molecule: ribosomal RNA, 168 nt
Filed under: Triticum aestivum (bread wheat)
Lineage: Eukaryota; Viridiplantae; Streptophyta; Magnoliopsida; Poales; Poaceae
Description: partial small subunit ribosomal RNA
Source: RNAcentral
AUGACUCUGCUCCGCUCCCAGGGCAUCGUGGAGGUGGUCAUGUGGGAUCCUCUCGAACAGCUCGUGCUCACUGUCGACUUCGAUGGCAGGGUCACCCGCUCCAUCGGCCCCCUCUCCAAAGGGAUGUACUACUUGGAUUUCCUCCCCUACAUCAACUCAUACACAUAG